This 698-nucleotide ribosomal RNA is filed under the name Emiliania huxleyi. RNAcentral describes it as "partial Bacterial large subunit ribosomal RNA". It matches the Rfam family "Bacterial large subunit ribosomal RNA", at positions 445 to 1143 of the family's 2925-position model. Lineage: Eukaryota; Haptophyta; Isochrysidales; Noelaerhabdaceae. The record is from RNAcentral.
UGGGGGGACCAUCCUCCAAGCCUAAGUACUCCUUAUCGACCGAUAGUGAACAAGUACCGUGAGGGAAAGGUGAAAAGCACCCCGACGAGGGGAGUGAAACAGUACCUGAAACCGAACGCCUACAAUCAGUCGGAGCCCCCUUGCGGGGUGACGGCGUACCUUUUGUAUAAUGGGUCAUCGACUUGGUCUAUCUAGCAAGCUUAAGCCGUUAGGUGUAGGCGCAGCGAAAGCGAGUCUGAAUAGGGCGCAUGAGUUAGAUGGAUCAGACCCGAAACCGAGUGAUCUAGGCAUGGCCAGGUUGAAGGUUGGGUAACACCAACUGGAGGACCGAACCCACAUCCGUUGAAAAGGAUCGGGAUGAGCUGUGCCUAGGGGUGAAAGGCCAAUCAAACUCGGAAAUAGCUGGUUCUCCGCGAAAUCUAUUUAGGUAGAGCGUUAGAUGAAUACCAUCGGGGGUAGAGCACUGAAUGGGCUAGGGGGCCUUACCGGCUUACCAAACCUAAUCAAACUCCGAAUACCGAUGAGUACUAUCUGGCAGACAGACUACGGGUGCUAAGGUCCGUGGUCGAGAGGGAAACAGCCCAGACCGCCAGUUAAGGUCCCAAAGUUGUGGCUAAGUGGGAAAGGAUGUAGGACGGCCAAGACAACCAGGACGUUGGCUUAGAAGCAGCCAUCGUUUAAAGAAAGCGUAACAGCUC